GACGAACGCUGGCGGCGUGCCUAAUACAUGCAAGUCGAACGCACAGUUUAUACCGUAGCUUGCUACACCAUAGACUGUGAGUUGCGAACGGGUGAGUAACGCGUAGGUAACCUGCCUGGUAGCGGGGGAUAACUAUUGGAAACGAUAGCUAAUACCGCAUAAUAUUAAUUAUUGCAUGAUAAUUAAUUGAAAGGUGCAAUUGCACCACUACCAGAUGGACCUGCGUUGUAUUAGCUAGUAGGUGAGGUAACGGCUCACCUAGGCGACGAUACAUAGCCGACCUGAGAGGGUGAUCGGCCACACUGGGAGUGAGACACGGCCCAGACUCCUACGGGAGGCAGCAGUAGGGAAUCUUCGGCAAUGGACGAAAGUCUGACCGAGCAACGCCGCGUGAGUGAAGAAGGUUUUCGGAUCGUAAAGCUCUGUUGUAAGAGAAGAACGGGUGUGAGAGUGGAAAGUUCACACUGUGACGGUAUCUUACCAGAAAGGGACGGCUAACUACGUG
Molecule: ribosomal RNA, 505 nt
Filed under: uncultured bacterium
Lineage: Bacteria
Description: partial 16S ribosomal RNA
Rfam family: Bacterial small subunit ribosomal RNA
Source: RNAcentral